Molecule: ribosomal RNA, 494 nt
Filed under: uncultured bacterium
Lineage: Bacteria
Description: partial 16S ribosomal RNA
Rfam family: Bacterial small subunit ribosomal RNA
Source: RNAcentral
GUACUCGCGAAUGCAUCNAGAUUNAUAAUUUGAUCAUGGCUCAGAUUGNACGCUGGUCGGCAGGCCUAACACAUGCAAGUCGAGCGGAUGACGGGAGCUUGCUCCUUGAUUCAGCGGCGGACGGGUGAGUAAUGCCUAGGAAUCUGCCUGGUAGUGGGGGACAACGUUUCGAAAGGAACGCUAAUACCGCAUACGUCCUACGGGAGAAAGCAGGGGACCUUCGGGCCUUGCGCUAUCAGAUGAGCCUAGGUCGGAUUAGCUAGUUGGUGGGGUAAUGGCUCACCAAGGCGACGAUCCGUAACUGGUCUGAGAGGAUGAUCAGUCACACUGGAACUGAGACACGGUCCAGACUCCUACGGGAGGCAGCAGUGGGGAAUAUUGGACAAUGGGCGAAAGCCUGAUCCAGCCAUGCCGCGUGUGUGGAGAAGGUCUUCGGAUUGUAAAGCACUUUAAGUUGGGAGGAAGGGCAUGUAAGUUAAUACCUUGCUGUUUUG